Molecule: long non-coding RNA, 1161 nt
Filed under: Androctonus crassicauda
Lineage: Eukaryota; Metazoa; Arthropoda; Arachnida; Scorpiones; Buthidae
Source: RNAcentral
CGUUGCUUAGUUUGUAAAAUGGGCAAGGGAUUGCCUAGUUUGUAAAACGUGCGCGCCAAUUGCCGAUUUAACCGGUGUAGCGGUUUAUCUGCCUGAUUUGCAGGGUGGCAAUGUUUUAUUUACCGACUUCUUGAAGUGGGCAAUCGCUGAACCGACGCGACGUCUAGAGCCAAAUGCGGUGUUUUUAGUAAUCGACACCAGCACUAUAGCGAUAAUGUGGAUUAUUUUGGUGAAAGAGUUGUCUUUUUUUGAGUAAUGUUCAGUUCUGUCUUUUAAGGUAGGUAUUUAUUUUAUAUUUUUAACAGUUAACCUAUUGUAGUUUAUAUCUAUUUCCUAAGUAUUCCUAAUCCAAAGCGAAAUUGCUUUACCGCUGGUAAUUCCAUGGCUUGGACCACACGGCUAAGCCUAACGAGUUUGGCUAUUUCAAAAUAUUUACUUACUGUUUUUUAAAAUUAAUUGUACGAUUUUACUUUAUUGCACCUCUGAUUUCUUCCACCUAUUUAUAAGAACCUCAAUCCACUGAUAAGGGCCUUAUGUGGUGUUGAGGCUCUAUUGUCUAGUAUCGAGCCUUUAAAUCACAUUAUAUUCGAUUUGGAAAGUCAAAACCAAAAUUAUGUUAAGGCCUGUCUUUACAAUUUUUAUGGAAUGUUUUUGUACAUCCUGUACGUCAUAUUCUCCCUAAUCGACACUAUUUGCUAUUUCUCAGAUCUCAUCAUUGUUUUGUAUAGAAGCCCCAUAAGGGCUUUCGUACAUUCUGUAUUUCUCCGUUAUAUUUAACAUUAAUCAGAUAUAAAUACAUACAUAACGAAACCCGCACUUAAUUAAAUUGGUUUUGAUACUUUUAUUAUACAUUUAUUUUUGUAAAUUAUCAUUUUCAGAUUUUAAUUAUGGAAGAUUUUUCGAAUAAUCGUCUAUGGACAAAAGAUUAUGAAGAGAGAGUAAUUCAUAUUUUACAGUCUAGUGGUGAAUGUGAUAUAGUCAAAAAUGGGAAAUUCUAUUAUUGCAAGAAAAAUUUCAAGCUAGUUAGUAUGGCUGGAGUCACCAAAGUGGCUACAAUAAAAGAUAAUCGUAUUAUGGCAAUAAAAGAAAAUAUAUUUUCAAUUAUCAGUGAUUUUCAUAGUGCUUGCGGUCAUAAAGGAGAAAAGAAAACUUAUAAAGCGG